UCAAGCUACAAAGAGCACAAGGGGAAUGCCUUGGCACCGAGAGCCGAAGAAGGACGUGACUAACUGCGAUAAGCUGCGGGGAGCCGUAAGUAGGCUUUGAUCCGCAGAUUUCCGAAUGGAGCAAUCCGGCAAGAGGAAAGUCUUGUCAUCAUAUACUGAAUACAUAGGUAUAUGAGGGGAACCGCCUGAACUGAAACAUCUAAGUAGGGCGAGGAAGAGAAAUCAACUGAGAUUCCGUAAGUAGUGGCGAGCGAACGCGGAAGAGGCCAAACCGAGAGUAGUAAUACUUUCGGGGUUCGGACAGAAAACGGUAUUGUAAAGGUUUAGUGGAAUGGAAUGGGAAGUCCAACCGAAGAAGGUGAGAGUCCUGUACACGAAAAGCCUGAACAGCCAUCUGUAUCCAGAGUACCGCCGGACACGUGAAACCCGGUGGGAAUACGGGGGGACCAUCCUCCAAGCCUAAAUACUACUCGGUGACCGAUAGUGAAGAAGUACUGUGAAGGAAAGGUGAAAAGUACCCCUGACGGGGAGUGAAAAAGAACCUGAAACCUUGUGUUUACAAGCACCGAAAGCUCAUCAAAGAGCGAUCGGGUACCUUUUGUAGAAUGGUCCGGCGAGUGAAUGUAACCGGCGAGGUUAAGCACUUAAGGUGUGAAGCCGCAGCGAGAGCAAGUCUGAAUAGGGCGUAUGAAGUCGGUUGUAUUCGACCCGAAACCGGGUGACCUACCCAUGGUCAGGUUGAAGUAAAGGUAAAACUUUAUGGAGGACCGAACCGACUCCCGUUGAAAUGGUAGCGGAUGAACUGUGGGUAGCGGAGAAAUUCCAAUCGAACCCGGAGAUAGCUGGUUCUCUCCGAAAUAGCUUUAGGGCUAGCCUUGAAAUAGAUUACCGGAGGUAAAGCACUGAAUUGGCUAGGGGCCGAGAGGUUACUGAACCUUAUCAAACUAAGAAUGCCGGAUAAUCGUUUUUCAGGAGUCAGACAGUGGGAGAUAAGUUUCAUUGUCAAAAGGGAAACAGCCCAGACCCACAGCUAAGGUCCCCAAGUAUAGUUAAGUGGAAAAGGAUGUGGAAUUGCACAGACAACCAGGAUGUUGGCUUAGAAGCAGCCACUCAUUAAAAGAGUGCGUAAUAGCUCACUGGUCGAGUGACUCUGCGCCGAAAAUUUAACGGGGCUAAACUAUACACCGAAGCUUGGGAUACAUCUAAUGUAUGGUAGGAGAGCGUUCUGUAUGGGGAGAAGUCGUAGCGAAAGCGGCGGUGGACUAUACAGAAGUGAGAAUGCCGGAAUAAGUAGCGAGAAUUAAGUGAGAAUCUUAAUGGCCGAAAGUCUAAGGUUUUUGGAGGAAGGUUCGUCCGCUCCAAGUAAGUCGGGAGCUAAGGUCAGGCCGAAAGGCGUAGCCGAUGCACAUACGGUUGAUAUUCCGUAACCAUCUGUAAUUUAAGCAAAGGGACACUUCAAAAGGGUGUGACCCGGGCGUUGGUUGACCCGGGCGUAAGGGACCGAAAUUAGAGUAGGGAAGCACACUUAGCUGAAGGCGAGAAAAGCUUUGCGUAUAGAAACAGAUGCCCGUACCGCAAACCGACACAGGUGGACAGGAAGAGAAUUCUAAGGCCAGCGGGAGAAGGGUAGUUAAGGAACUCGGCAAAUUGACUCCGUAACUUCGGAAUAAGGAGUGCUCGAAAGAGCCGCAGAGAAUAGGCCCAGGCGACUGUUUAGCAAAAACACAGGUCUCUGCCAAAUCGAAAGAUGAAGUAUAGGGGCUGACACCUGCCCGGUGCCGGAAGGUUAAGAGGAGGAGUGAGAGCUCCGAAUUGAAGCCCCGGUAAACGGCGGCCGUAACUAUAACGGUCCUAAGGUAGCGAAAUUCCUUGUCGGGU
RNAcentral lists this ribosomal RNA (1878 nucleotides) under human gut metagenome. RNAcentral's name for it is "bacterial LSU rRNA". It matches the Rfam family "Bacterial large subunit ribosomal RNA", at positions 3 to 1977 of the family's 2925-position model. The record is from RNAcentral.